This 2262-nucleotide long non-coding RNA is filed under the name Homo sapiens (human). Its description in RNAcentral is "HSALNT0031112". Lineage: Eukaryota; Metazoa; Chordata; Mammalia; Primates; Hominidae. The record is from RNAcentral.
AAUACUGGUUGUCUAAUGUAUACUGAAGCAGAACACUUCGUCCCUGGCUGGGGGUGUGUGUUCCAGAUGUCUUACGUUCCCUGGUACUGCUCCUGCACAGCUGUUUUUUAACACUUCAGGGUUCAGUUACUCUGCCUAGCACUGCUGCACCUCAGUCACCACGUCUGGCAAUCCAAAUGGAUCUUGCCAACCCCGGGAGUUCUCUCGUGAAUUCUUUUGUAAACAUUUUAUAAUAGGAGUUAGCUUUUGCAAGGUCAACAAUCACACCUACAUUUGUUUUUUUUUACAGUCAAAUUUUCGAGCUUUCUUUCAGUGGAGCCUACCUAUACUUUGUGAAGUGUGUUUAAUCUCUGAGUUAUGUACAUCAAAAGAUACUUCCUAGAUCUUUAAGAAGCUCUCCCAAGGGAAUAAAACUCUGGGCAAAUUGGAUGGUAGAAGUAUUUCACCAUUCAUGACAACGUGUUUCCUUUGGUUGUGUUGGUAUGUUUUUAGUGUUAACACUGGUGAAUCUAGAAAGUUUUCAUAAACUGGGGCUUGAUAAAGGAGGUUGGAUUUAAACUCUUACCUGAAAAAGAAAAAAAAAUACCAAAAACACAUGGGGAUAGGUUGGAUAAAUGGUGAAAGAAACACUGAGAACAAAAGUCAUUUUCCCCAUUCACUCUCAUCCUUGGACACUUUACUGGACCUUCCACCCUCCUUCUGAAGUCCAGGGAAGGCCACAAACUUCUCAGGCCCAAAUCUGUUAGCACCAGCAGGCUCAGCUCUAAGAGCCAGAGCCAGGUAAUAAGCUUAGCUUCCUAGCAACCCGCACACAAGUGUUCCCGAUAAAAUGGAUUACAUACUGCUGAUGAAUCCCAGGUGAAUAUCAUACUGACCCAACAAAGGAAUUAAUUUGUACCUCCUGCCACACUAAGGAGGCGGACUGAGAGAAUUCUUUUUGCCCAUGAUCCUUCCUGGCAUUCUCCCUGGAACGUCAUGGUAAAAACAAAAUGCUCCAAUGAGGUCAAAAGUGGAGGCUUCAACUUCCUAUUGCCUCUGCAAAAAAAAAAAAAAAAUGUCCUCAUAACAGGAAGCAGAGGGUCUGUUUUUCCAUCAGUUGCUUUCCCAAUACAACUCAGAUUGCCUGGAAUACCACCCUUAAAGAAUUACUCCAGGGUGCCCUGGGCAACUCACGUAAGUAGUUCAGUCACCCCAGUAUAAAUCAACCAAUUGCCAUUUUAUUUACACCUUGGGCUCUUGGGACCUUGGUUUAUCAAUCCUCAGGAGGCUAAUCUCCCCUGGGCAUUCAGACAAAAUGAGGUUUCUAUAAUAGAAGCUAGCUAACCAGGUUUGAAUUUAGGCUCUGCCGCUUCCAGCUGUAUGAUCCCUCUUUGGAAUAACAGUCCUACCUCAUAGGGUUGAUGUGACGAUUAAAUUAAUACGUGUAAAAUGCUCCAAGUUGAACCUGGCAUGUAAUGAACACUAUAUAGAAAUUCCUGCCAUUUUUGUUAUUGAGCCAAAGAUGACCCUGAAAUUGAAGGUGGUGACUGGCCCACCCAGAUGGCCCCUCUCUCCUUUCAGGCUACACCAGAAGCCUCCAAAGACAAACCACAGGCAGUGGGGGGCACAGUUCUGUCCAAGUUAUUAUUCACUGGAACCGGUAACCUCCUCUUCACACAUUUGGAAGCCAGCCCCAAUUUGUGACCUCCUCCUCAGUGACAGGAAGGAGACAAAGGGCCCAGCAGGAAUUCACUGGAAUCUUGUGGCUAGCCCUAGUUCAAGCUAUGGGUCAAGCAGUAAGAAGGAAGGGCUAUCAAACUCCUGAGGACACACAGCCAAAGAUGUUAUCCUCACAUUAACCAGCUGUAGUUCUAAAGUCAUAAACAGGUUAUAUAAUUAAGAAACAAAAGUGCUACCACAAAGCAUUCAUCUUCUAGCUGGCAUAAACUUCUGGGAAAAGGGGUGGCUGUCAGUCAUUUCUUGCUUGAUGCCCUCCUGAACAGGCACUUGUGAGAUGACUAAACAGGUUACAGGGUUGGCCCAUCGCUGUUGUUACAGGCAACGUGUGCCCAGAUUAGGGGACAGGUAAUACAUAUUUUCUCUUUAUGAAAUGAGUGUGCCAGGGGUCAAACCUACCAACAAUGGUAGACUCAGGUAGUCUCAAUUCUGUUUCACAAACAGUUGGCCAACUGGCCAGAACAGGCCAUCAUUCUAGGCAAAGAGAAACAUGACAAAGCUCUCAAGUCAGCUUGGGAUCUAUCUAUAUAGAUGAUUUUUUUUUUU